UCUAAAAUGGCAGAGCGUAUGUGUAGGAUUUAGGAUCCUAGAACGGAGUUAUUUUAACACUCCUUUUAGAA
This 71-nucleotide transfer RNA is filed under the name Tetraloides heterodactylus. Its description in RNAcentral is "tRNA-Leu". The record is from RNAcentral. Lineage: Eukaryota; Metazoa; Arthropoda; Malacostraca; Decapoda; Tetraliidae.